GGACGGGUAGCUCAGUUGGUAGAGCACAGGAUUGAAAAUCCUGGUGUCACGGGUUCGAUUCCCGUCCUGUCCAC
Molecule: transfer RNA, 74 nt
Filed under: Rubinisphaera italica
Lineage: Bacteria; Pseudomonadati; Planctomycetota; Planctomycetia; Planctomycetales; Planctomycetaceae
Description: Planctomycetes bacterium Pan54 tRNA-Phe
Rfam family: tRNA
About the family: Transfer RNA (tRNA) molecules are approximately 80 nucleotides in length.
Source: RNAcentral